ACCACCCCCACCACCUGUCCCCAGCUUCAGAGGCCUGGACCUUGGGGACAGUCCUGGGCCACUGGAGGACAGAGUGGCCUGGCUUCACCAGAGGGCAAGGCUGCGGAAGGAGCUGGAGGCCCUGGAUGAUGUGGCACGGUGGCUGGAGAACAAGCCCAGCAUCUCGCCCUUAGAGGCCAAAGUCCUGCGCAUGCUUCAUAAGGAGCGAGAGGUCCAGAUCAUGAGCCAGGCAGAGGUCACCACAGCCACCAAGGUGGGAGUCCCCAUGAAGCAUCAGGAGAUAGAGGAUGUGGUGAUCUACCUGAGCUCCCUCGGGAAGCAGCACGAAAUCACCGUAGAGUCACUGGCUAUCACCUACAAGCAGUGGUCUCUAGCCCAGCUGAGAAGAAGCACACCGCCUACCACAUACAAGGGUUCCAUCCAGGCACAGAGCUCAGUGUCUCUGCAGCCAUACAAGAAGGACCUACUCACGGUGCCCGAGGUCCCUGUGCCCUCCGAGGCCCGGCCCCUGACACUGGAGGAAAUGGAAGAUGUAGGCAAGCACUAUCGCGAGCGCAGGCGGCAGCUCAAGCUCCCCAUCCCCUCCAUCCAGUACACGGAGAGCUGCCGCCUGGUGCGCAGUGGGGACUGGCACAUGGACCAGCACUGCCUGCCGUCCACGGUGCCUGGCGAGAGCCAGGAACUGCUGGAUGCAGCGCGCAGGGAUGGCUUCCUGCUCUACUUGCGCUGUGGGAGGCAGUGCGCGGCCUCAGGGCUGCCAGUGACAGAGGAUGUCCUCACCCGAGCACUGCUGUACCCAGGGGACAAGAUCGUCCUGCAGGAUACCCAAGUGCGCCCCAUCCGGCAGCCUGGUGGCUUCUACUCAGACUGGAGGGCCCUGGCCCCACACCUGGCCAAACAACAGAUGCAAGACCCAAAUCUGGGGCCCCAGAAGAGUAACAAGAAGGCACCACUGGACAGCAGGAGGACACCCUCUAAAGAGACCCAGGAGGUUACCAGGAAGCUGAAGGCGAGGAGACAUGGGGGUCUCCAGCGAACCCAUCCCAACGCCUUCUGGCCAGGCCACCUGCUGGAUAAGCUGAGGUUUUGCCUACCCUCAGAGACCACUGACCGGAGCCUGGCACUGUUCAGUUGCAUCCAGCCAUGCCUACCAGGCCACCUACCACCCUGACCGCUGGUGGCCCCUGAGGAAUGAGAACUACAUGACCCAAGCUUACUAUGAUUCCCCCAAAGUGUAUGCCAUCAACUAGACUGGGUGGUGUUACCAUGACAUGGCAGGGAUCCAGCCAGGUCAAAGACACAGUGUUAGGGUGGCUGGACCCCACAACCCUGUCCCAGAGGAGUGUCACUGCCGCACCUCUGGCCUUGGCCUUUGCAAAUAAAACAGCAAGAGCUU
Molecule: long non-coding RNA, 1396 nt
Filed under: Cavia porcellus (domestic guinea pig)
Lineage: Eukaryota; Metazoa; Chordata; Mammalia; Rodentia; Caviidae
Description: lncRNA (ENSCPOG00000004338.4)
Source: RNAcentral